CCACAGGAUAGUGCAGUGGCUGUGGGAAUGAUGAGAUUUGCCAAGCACUGUUCCAAAUGCCUUGCUGAAGGCUGGAUGCUCUGGCAUAAGCAUGGCACUUUACCCUUUCCCUUAAGGGGUAAACAGAUCCCACCUUCAACAACCCAUUUGUAUCAUCCAGAAAACUGCUGAUCAUCAGGUUUCAGCCCAAGUGUGACCCAAGUCAGAGACUCACGUAAAUAUCUGUAUCUCAUCAUCUCACUCCAGUGAACACCCAAGUGUCUGAAGCCAGACAAAGCAAGGCUUUGAGUAGAAAUGUGCACCUCUUAGUUUCCUCAUGUUGGCAUUCGUAUACUUCCUCACACACGCUUUCACCAUUCAGUAAUAUCUGUCUUUCAUCAAACAGCAUAUUUUCUUGCUCUAUUACUGCUAAAAACCUAUUUCUUCUGCCAGAAAUGCUCUAAAGCCUCUGCAGUGUUGAGAGCUGGUGCUGUAACAUAGCUUAGGGACCCAAGUUUCUGUUGUAAUUACAUCUUUGUAUCAAGUGCAGCUCCUGUGUCUGUAGCCUUACGUCAGAACAAUGGGCUGCUGCCAGUAAAGUCAAUAUAAUCUGGGAUUCUAGUGUAAGGCUUCAGAUUGGGUCCCACCCCUAUCCAAACAGUUCACCAGAGGAACUGCCUGCUGUUCCCUUGUAUGAUUAACAGUCACAUACAAGGGUUGAUGAGAAAGCAUGAGGGAUUUCUAAAUUAGUCAGAUGUUAACUGGGAGGGUCAGAAUUAAGUCACAAUUUACACACACAUUUUGCAAUUAGUGUUGAUGGGAAAGGAAGUGAAAAAAAUAGGGCUUAAUUAAAUGUGGCUUUGUUAGAUCCUUCUGUUACAUGUACCCAGAUGUUGUGGGGGCUUCAGCUGAUGUUCAGUAUUUAAACUGCAAAAAAACACCCAGGAAGACUGAGGUUGUGUUCUAAAAUAUGUCACUCUUCAUGAGCUAUUUGGACACAAAUGGAAAAAGGUCCUAAGGCUCAGUGACACCUGAGCUGUUUGAUAUAAAGGUGGGAGGAUAUAGCAGCAAAUUGUCUUAGAUGUCUCUGUUUCUAUCUCCAUAUUUCUAAGGAAAAAUUAAGGCAUCUCUUCAUUUCAGGUUACAAAAUAACCCUUCCAUUUUCUGGGAAAGGUUCUGUAAUAAUCACCAGGAAGUCUGGCUUCAAGGUAGGGCCUGUUAAGUAGAAAAUUGAGAUUAUAUUAUAUGAAUAAGCAGGAAAUCACAGGCAGUCGAGGCCCUAUAAAGAGAAAAGUUUUGAGUAACUGAAAAAACCCUCAACCCACAAUGGCAGUCUGUUCUCCCACCUGCUGCUCUGGUUAUGUUCUGCUCUGGCAGAUGCUAUCAAUAGGUUUGUCAUUUGCUGAUGGAUCCGGCCUCUGCUGAAACUUCUCUGUUGCCAGAAAUGAGUGUGCCCCUUCUUUCAGCCCAGUUGUGACAGUGGAUGAGGAAAGCCCAAGGUGCUGAGCCUGAAUGUUAAGGAAGGUCUAUUUUUUACUGCUUAGUUCUGUUGUUCUGCAGUUGGCUUGUGUUAAAGCUGCUUGUGUUAGAGCAGAGAUAGUCAGCAAAGAUCUGCUGACUAUCAUCACAUGUCUGCCAAGGCUUUUAAUCAAGACUCAGGGCAACAGAUGGUAUACCCAGAAACUACAGAAUUAUUGUGAAAAUGAAAGGAAGAAAGAAAUUUCAGAGGAACUGUGUUCCUUUCUAAAGGAUGCCAAGUCCUAACAUUGUAGGGCAGCAUGAGGUGCUUAGGAAGGAAAAGUUGUCUCCUUAUUAAUUAGCUCUGCCUGUGUCCAAUUAACUUAAAACCAGGUGAGGAGUGAGAGCUUAAGACUUGCAGUUACAAGCAAUCAUGUAAUAGACCAUUUAUCAAGAAGACAUAAAAGCAGUCCAUCACUCUGCUAAUCCUGGCACUAUGUGUGUGAAAGCUCAAAUUCCACAGCACUGGAAUGUGCCCCAGGAAAGGACAAGCUACUUGCUUCAAGCCUCUUCUCUCAGCUGGGGACAGAUCCACUCUUCCUGCUUAUGCCACUGGUCAAGGCAGAAUAGGGGAAGACAAACAUGAGGAGAAAAAAAAAACAACAGGCAGACUGUCAUCCCAUAAAAUAAAAAGCCUCAAUAUUUACAGUGGGAUGGGAGAUGUCACCAAGCAGAGGAAAGAGGGAAUAAUAUUGGCAAGGCAGUCAAGCACGUGAUACUUUCCGAUUUCUGCACCACAAGAUGAGGAGGACUCAAUGGCAUUUGUAGCAAAUCUGACCUAUUUGUCAUCUGUGUAGAAAGAGUUUGCGUCAGCCGACAUGAACAAAUAUCUCAGGGGUGACACAGGGGCUCAUCUACACACACAGGUGCCAGUUAGCAGCAGCUGCAGCUGGGCUUGCAUUAUAACAUGUGGAAACCUCUUCACAACUGCUAAUGCUCCUGCCAUGGCUAGGUAGGGCUGAAUACACCUGCAGAGAGUUACACAAAUGAGGAACUGUAGAACCUGGGCUAGUGAUCUUCAGAGCUAGCAGAUGUUCCCAAAGUCACCCUGCUUAUAUGCUCAGAAACAGAUUUAAAUCCAUUUCAUUCACAUUGACAAUUCAAAAUUAUGUUCCCCUCCUCCUCAAAAAAAUCAAAUUGUAGCAGCAGGCUGCAGCCUCUGCUGUCCCCUGCCCUCCAACCUGGCUUUUCACACCCAUAUCAGCUUCCAGCACCAGUGUCAUGACCUGGAUUCAAAGAUGCUUUUUAAACUCCUGAUUACAUGGCCUACUUCCUGGCUAUGGAAAUGAGGCCAGGUGGAUUCUAUUUUAAAAGCCUGCUAAAGACCAUGGCUAAAAUAGCUGACAACAUUACCAGACCACUGGGGCUUAAAAGGUUUUACAGUGCCGCUGUGUCUGAGAGAUGUGCUGGCUUUAUCUCUGUGUUUUAUGUCUCAUUUUCUAAUAGGAUUUUAGGAAUCUUACUGGUGUUGUGCCUCUCCCCUUCUCGUUCUCAGGCAGCUCCUCCCUCGAUGUUUGUGGGGAAUCUCUAGCCUUUUUACAGACCAGAUUGCCACUAACACAGCACUCUGGCUCUUCUCCACUACUCUACUCCAAAGAAGCUACAAACAAUUUCCAAGUACCCCUAAAAUCACAGCAAACUGAGGAGAGAUGCUCAAUGAGAACAAGGUCAGCAGGACUCUCAUUAAACUCUUCCCCACAGCAGCUGCAUUUGAAGCACAAGGUCUCAGUUUAUUUAGUAGCAGUAGAGCUCCUUUCCUUUUCUGCUUUCCUAAAUUGUUUCUCAACCCUGAUGUUCUCUCUUUCAGGACAUAUUCCUGCUUCCAAGCAACUGCCCACACCAGAGCUGAAGUAUUAGCUGGGUUUUACCUCCUAAACACAAAUAAUGCUUCCUAUGAAAGGAUUUGCUGGACUAGACUAUGAGAUUGACACAUAGCAUUUGAUCCACUGCAGAGCUAACUGUGCCAGCAGCCUCUGAAGUUGGUGAAGAAGUAAAGGUGGUAAGUACGAGAGUUCAAGUCCUAAAAGACAGCCAGCCUGCCCAUGCCCCAAAGUCAAGGACAUGACAGGACAUGACUUGUAGGCUCAGCCUGAGACUCACUGUCUUCAGCAAAGCAAGGACCUUCAGUUUGGAGACAGAAGCGCGCUUCAGCAGAGGAAACUGCACCCUUUUCACACCUGAAGUUUGAAAUGUGUCUGGGGGCAUGAACACCUGUGGGAGUAGUGGUUUUCCAGAUCUGUCUCCUAGCAAGGAAUUUGGAAUCACUGAGUUGAGGCUGUGCUCUCCCUAUAGGCCCCAAAAUGGGCAGCACUGGCAGCAUGGGAGACUUCUCUGCAUCAAGAGGGGACAUCAGCUGUUUGUCACUUUCUUACUCUUUCUUGCUCUUCCCUGCUCAUGCAAAUGAGCAAUGACUACUGGAAAUGAUGGUGACUGCUGGAAGACAGCCUUCUGCCUCUUCAGUGACAUUUUCUUUUAGAAAAGAAUUAUAUUAAAUGAAAUUCAAAACAGAUCAUGCUAAAAUGUGGUAGACAACUUGCUAAAUCUUCAUUCAAGCAAUUCCUGUGAGCUUUUCUGUCAUUUGUUCUGUCAUUUCUUCUGUUAGAGAAAAGUCUUUUAUGUUCUGUAAAGGUUUUCAGUGCCCGUGGCAUUUCAGAGGGGAUAUUUGUGCACCUGCUACUUGCUUCCCCUUCUGGGAGAUGAACGUCACAGCCUGCCCACAUUCCCCAAGAGGCUUCACUUACUGAUGAGUGCUGUUACUGUAACAGCUGAAGUCAGCACAAUUCUGAAGUAAUGUCAUGAAUCAUAAAAUAAGCCCCUCCUCUUUUUGCCAAUGCAA
Molecule: long non-coding RNA, 4333 nt
Organism: Motacilla alba alba
Lineage: Eukaryota; Metazoa; Chordata; Aves; Passeriformes; Motacillidae
Exons: 3
Source: RefSeq, a predicted model, not a curated record